Molecule: long non-coding RNA, 967 nt
Organism: Rana temporaria (common frog)
Lineage: Eukaryota; Metazoa; Chordata; Amphibia; Anura; Ranidae
Exons: 6
Source: RefSeq, a predicted model, not a curated record
UUAUCAAUUUUCCCCUACUCACCUUCCAUCAUUCCAUUAAUUAUUUCUUCUAAUUUAUAUCCCUCUCUCUUUUUUUGCAGUUGCAAUUUACUGACGUCAUGUCUCACAUGCAUGCCUAACAUUGGACCUGGAUGUGGAUGAGGAGGAAGCAAAUAGAAAAACACAUGAGGUUUUUUCAGCACUUCAUAGUUUUUUGACAUCGAAAUAAUUUCUUCUAUGCCAUUGUCAGUGUAUCACCUCCACACUUCCCAGAGCUACAAAUCUAAACUCAUGCUCUAUCUUGGCCCUGGUAUUUUGAUUCCAUUCUGACCACCAGGGAUCUGAAUGCUGCUCAGCUCCAUGCAAGAUAACAUAUUUAUCAGCAUAUGACACGCACAUUUAACUCCUGAAAAGCUUUCUGUUAAAGACGGAAGAAAGAGUGAAGAUAAUGUUGAAGAUAAAGUUCUUAAAGGGUCCCAGUAGGUUGCAGUUUGCGCAGUCCUCCUUGAUAUAUCAAUCCCCCUUCAAAUCACAGUGUCCCUUUCACAGUCACGUUCUAAAGAUCAUGCACUUACCCUGAUGAGGAGCAAUGGUCCUGCCAGAAGCCGAUGCUGGAGGGUCUUGAAUGCAGCUUUCUGUUAAAGACGGAAGAAAGAGUGAAGAGUCAAGCUCUAUGAUUUUGACCCCUGCUGCUGAAUCCAGGGACAUCCUCUGCCAGAAGGACAUCUCUUAGCUCCGCCUCCCACUCUCGCAACUUGAUAGGCUUUCCUCGGUUUUGUCCUAGUCGAAGCCUCUGCAUCUUCUUUGUAACCGUUGCCCGACAAUCAUAGAACCUGCAAAUGUACAUAAACAUUACAAUUACAUUAAUAAAAAAACAAAUACUUAGAUUAAUGUUUUUUGAAAACCACAUUUCUUUUCACAUUGUGAUGGUUAUAUGUAUACUGUUCAGCAUGUGGCUGUGACAAAUAAAUUUUUUGGUUACGUUGAA